This 401-nucleotide ribosomal RNA is filed under the name uncultured fungus. RNAcentral describes it as "SSU rRNA". It matches the Rfam family "Eukaryotic small subunit ribosomal RNA", at positions 555 to 961 of the family's 1831-position model. The record is from RNAcentral. Lineage: Eukaryota; Fungi.
GCAAGUCUGGUGCCAGCAGCCGCGGUAAUUCCAGCUCCAAUAGCGUAUAUUAAAGUUGUUGAGGUUAAAAAGCUCGUAGUUGAACCUUGGGCCUAGCCGGCCGGUCCGCCUCACCGCGUGCACUGGCUCGGCUGGGUCUUUCCUUCUGGAGAACCGCAUGCCCUUCACUGGGUGUGCCGGGGAACCAGGACUUUUACUCUGAACAAAUUAGAUCGCUUAAAGAAGGCCUAUGCUCGAAUACAUUAGCAUGGAAUAAUAGAAUAGGACGUGUGGUUCUAUUUUGUUGGUUUCUAGGACCGCCGUAAUGAUUAAUAGGGACAGUCGGGGGCAUCAGUAUUCAAUUGUCAGAGGUGAAAUUCUUGGAUUUAUUGAAGACUAACUACUGCGAAAGCAUUUGCCAA